CGGUCGGCCGCUACAGUGCGAGUCGAGCGAUGAAACCCGGCGUGCUUGGCGGAUUAGAGGGGAGGGGGGAGAAAGGCGGGAGUGACCUGCCCUUAACUCUGGGAUAAGCCUGGGAAACUGGGGCUAAUACCGGAUAGGAGCGCCUACCGCAUGGGGGGUGUUGGAAAGAUUUAUCGGCUUUGGAUGGACUCGCGGCCUAUCAGCUUGUUGGUGAGGUAAUGGGUCGCCAAGGCGACGACUGGUAGCCGGCCUGAGGGGGGGACCGGCCGCACUGGGACUGAUACACGGCCCAGACUCCUACGGGAGGGAGCAGUGGGGAAUAUUGCACAAUGGGCGAAAGCCUGAUGCAGCGACGCCGCGUGAGGGAUGACGGCCUUCGGGUUGUAAACCUCUUUCAGUAGGGAAGAAGCGAAAGUGACGGUACCUGCAGAAGAAGCACCGGCUAACUACGUGCCAUCAGCCGCGGUAAUACGUAGGGUGCGAGCGUUAUCCGGAAUUAUUGGGCGUAAAGAGCUCGUAGGCGGUUUGUCGCGUCUGUCGUGAAAGUCCGGGGCUUAACCCCGGAUCUGCGUGUGGGUACGGGCAGACUAGAGUGCAGGGGGGGAGACUGGAAUUCCUGGUGUAGGCGGUGGAAUGCGCAGAUAUCAGGAGGAACACCGAUGGCGAAGGCAGGUCUCUGGGCUGUAACUGACGCUGAGGAGCGAAAGCAUGGUGAGCGAACAGGAUUAGAUACCCUGGUAGUCCAUGCCGUAAACGUUGGGCACUAGGUGUGGGGACCAUUCCACGGUUUCCGCGCCGCAUCUAACGCAUUAAGUGCCCCGCCUGGGGAGUACAGGCGCAAGGCUAACACUCUGAGGAAUUGACGGGGCGCCCGCACAAGCGGCGGAGCAUGCGGAUUAAUUCGAUGCAACGCGAAGAACCUUUACCAAAGGCUUGACAUGUUCUCGAACGCCUUACAGAUACUUGUUUCCCCUCUUGACAGCGGGUUCACAAGUGGGUGCAUCGUUUGUCGUCAGCUCGUGUCGUGAAGAUGAUGGGGGUAAGUCCCCUCAACGUAGCGCAAUCCCUCGGUUUCAAUGUUUGCCCAGCAAAGUAACUGCUUGGUGGACUUCUAUGGGUGAGCACUGGCCUGCGGGUCGAAGCUACGGUCAAGGAAAGGGUGUAGACAUGGAACGGAUGAUCCAAUUCGAGUUACAAUGAACCGCCCGGUUGUAGAUGAGUCUAA
This is a ribosomal RNA of 1225 nucleotides. It matches the Rfam family "Bacterial small subunit ribosomal RNA", at positions 40 to 1182 of the family's 1533-position model.